CCCUUAGAUGCUCUGGGCCGCACGCGCGCUACACUGGUCGAUGCAACGAGUUUCUUUCCUUGGCCGACAGGCCUGGGCAAUCUUUGAACAUCGAUCGUGAUCGGGAUAGAUUCUUGUAAUUUUUGAUCUUAAACGAGGAAUUCCUAGUAAACGCAAGUCAUCAGCUUGCAUUGAUUACGUCCCUGCCCUUUGUACACACCGCCCGUCGCACCUACCGAUUGAAUGGUCCGGUGAAAUCUCCGGACUGGCGUGAGUCGGAGCAAUCUGACAAACGCCGGAAAGUUGAUUAAACCUUACCAUUUAGAGGAAGGUGANGUCGUNACA
This 324-nucleotide ribosomal RNA is filed under the name uncultured eukaryote. RNAcentral describes it as "partial 18S ribosomal RNA". It matches the Rfam family "Eukaryotic small subunit ribosomal RNA", at positions 1470 to 1796 of the family's 1831-position model. The record is from RNAcentral.